RNAcentral lists this transfer RNA (74 nucleotides) under Yarrowia lipolytica CLIB122. RNAcentral's name for it is "tRNA YALI0_F01276r". It matches the Rfam family "tRNA". Rfam says of the family: Transfer RNA (tRNA) molecules are approximately 80 nucleotides in length. The record is from RNAcentral. Lineage: Eukaryota; Fungi; Ascomycota; Dipodascomycetes; Dipodascales.
GGUUGUAUAGUGUAGCGGUUAUCACCUUGGAUUCUGAAUUUCCAGUAACCCCGGUUCGAUUCCGGGUACGACCU